Molecule: ribosomal RNA, 440 nt
Filed under: uncultured bacterium
Lineage: Bacteria
Description: partial 16S ribosomal RNA
Rfam family: Bacterial small subunit ribosomal RNA
Source: RNAcentral
CCUACGGGUGGCAGCAGUAGGGAAUAUUGCUCAAUGGGGGAAACCCUGAAGCAGCAACGCCGCGUGGAGGAUGAAGGUUCUCGGAUUGUAAACUCCUUUUGUUAGAGAAGAUAAUGACGGUACCUAACGAUUAAGCACCGGCUAACUCCGUGCCAGCAGCCGCGGUAAUACGGAGGGUGCAAGCGUUACUCGGAAUCACUGGGCGUAAAGGGCGCGUAGGCGGGAUAGCAAGUCAGAUGUGAAAUCCUAUGGCUUAACCAUAGAACUGCAUUUGAAACUGUUAUUCUAGAGUAUGGGAGAGGUAGGUGGAAUUCUUGGUGUAGGGGUAAAAUCCGUAGAGAUCAAGAGGAAUACUCAUUGCGAAGGCGGCCUGCUAGAACAUAACUGACGCUGAUGCGCGAAAGCGUGGGGAGCAAACAGGAUUAGAUACCCGUGUAGUC